GGAGGAACAGAGCCCCAGGAGGCCCAGGCGUGGGACAAGGCAGCUGCAGGGUCGGAAAGAGGAAGGCUGAGGGCCCUGGGAAUCUUGCACAUUCCAGGGUCCAGAAAGGUCAGUUUGGGGUCCACCUCUGGGGAGUCCACAAAAGAAAACGUUCAAUGUGGCUACAGGCCUGCCUUUCCAAACUCCUCGUGGCUACCAUUUCAUGAGCGGCUUCAAGUCCAGAAUGGUGAGUUUCCGUGGCAAGUGAGUAUCCAGAUGUCUCAGAAACACCUCUGUGGAGGCUCAAUCAUACACCGGUGGUGGGUUCUGACAGCUGCACACUGCUUCUCAAGAACCCUAUUAGACAUGGCAGUGGUAAAUGUCACCGUGGUCAUGGGAACAAGAACAUUCAGCAACAUCUACUCAGAGAGAAAGCAAGUGCGGAAGGUCAUUAUUCAUAAAGAUUACAAAGCACCCCAUCUCGACAGUGACCUCUCUCUGCUUCUACUCGCCACGCCAGUGCAAUUCACCAAUUUCAAAAUGCCUGUCUGCCUGCAGGAGGAGGAGAGGACCUGGGACCGGUGUUGGGUGGCAGAGUGGGUAACAACCAAUGGGUAUGAGUAGAAUCCUGUUUCCUUCUGGAGCUUUUCCUAACUGAUAUGCUUCGAGCCAUCUUAACGCCCCAGGCCUGCUGGUAUCAGAGUCAUCGACCUCCUCAUUUGUACUGCAGAGGGCUGGAGGGAGAUUCGGAAAAUCAGGGCAGGGUCCAGGAGAAGGUUCUGUCAUUGCAUGGCUUCAGCCUGGUCUCUCCUGACACCAGCCAGGAGAGACAGACUUUUUCCCACACAGCAGUUACCAACCAGAAGUACCUGAGCAAGAUCACCCUCAGCUCCUGCAGCCUUAGGGCACCCGAGUGUCCUGUCCGCUGGACAUUUGUUAUGGACAAAGAUUUGUGUGGCCCAUCAGUUUGCACACUGAAGCUCUAACCCUGGCUAUAAUUGGAGAGGGGGCCACCGAGGAAGCUAUUAAGGUUAACUGAGAUACAGGGUGGAGUCCUGGUUGAUAGGAUGGUGUCUUUAUGAGGACACCUAUAAGAUGGAUGCCCACUUGUCCCUCUGACUCCUCUGGUACA
Long non-coding RNA from Cebus imitator (Panamanian white-faced capuchin), 1111 nucleotides. RefSeq lists it as uncharacterized. The transcript has 7 exons. The record is from RefSeq and is a predicted model, not a curated record. NCBI's taxonomy places the organism in Eukaryota, Metazoa, Chordata, Mammalia, Primates, Cebidae.